UACAAAUAUGGUUUGAAGUUUGUUAGGCUCAAGAGACUCUUAAAGAUCCCUUCAAGAAGAGAAUCAAAAGAAUUCGUUACUUUUGUGUCUUGCGUUAAGAUUGGAACCAUAUCAUCGACGAUAUAUUCGAGGCACGCAUCUAGUGAAGAACACUUUCCGGUAGUUCAACCUAAUUUCAUUGAGUGAAAUUUUUUAGCUGAUAACUUCAGGUUUGCCGGGAGAUAAUCACUUGAGUAAAUUCAAUGAAUCACUGACUGAAUCUAGUGAAUCCAAGAAGCAAACGACUCCCGCCCGCGGUGUUCGCCGGCUUUUACGAAUCAGAGAAUAUCCACAGAUGCUUCAUUCGGCUAUGGGAGCUAACGCAACUUCACUCAUUAGAACAGACAUGACUGUCGAUGGCCAAAUGUCAAAUGCUGGCUCGGGUCCAACGAUUGAGGAGCCAAACCUCUGACAAGUUGUAAUUUUUUUAUUGCGUUAUAAGCAAACGAACGGGCGAAUGCGAGGCUACUCUGAGGGCACAAUCAGGAAAGCGAGCUCGCGUCAGGAUAAUCCCGUCGACUUUAACAACUGUAUAUAGUACAAAUGCUA
Hermetia illucens (black soldier fly) is the source of this 588-nucleotide long non-coding RNA. RefSeq lists it as uncharacterized. The transcript has 3 exons. Lineage: Eukaryota; Metazoa; Arthropoda; Insecta; Diptera; Stratiomyidae. The record is from RefSeq and is a predicted model, not a curated record.